GAUGAAGAACGUAGCGAAAUGCGAUAAGUAAUGUGAAUUGCAGAAUUCAGUGAAUCAUCGAAUCUUUGAACGCACAUGGCGCCUUCCAGUAUCCUGGGAGGCAUGCCUGUCCGAGCGUCGUUUCAACCCUCGAGCCCCCGUGGCCCGGCGUUGGGGAUCUGCCACGGCAGGCCCCUAAAACCAGUGGCGGACCCGAAGGCCCUCUCCUUUGCGCAGUAGCAUCAGCCUCGCAUUGGGAUCCCUCGGCGUCCUGCCUCUAAACCCCCCACAAGUCCGCUCCGGCGGCACCAAGGUUGACCUCGGAUCAGGUAGGAAUACCCGCUGAACUUAAGCAUAUCAGUAAGCGGAGGA
Molecule: unclassified non-coding RNA, 351 nt
Filed under: soil metagenome
Description: partial contains 5.8S ribosomal RNA, internal transcribed spacer 2, and large subunit ribosomal RNA
Rfam family: 5.8S ribosomal RNA (bases 1-120)
Source: RNAcentral